AGUGAACGCUGGCGGUAGGCCUAACACAUGCAGGUCGAACGGCAGCACAGUAAGAGCUUGCUCUUACGGGUGGCGAGUGGCGGACGGGUGAGGAAUACAUCGGAAUCUACUUUUUCGUGGGGGAUAACGUAGGGAAACUUACGCUAAUACCGCAUACGACCUACGGGUGAAAGCAGGGGAUCUUCGGACCUUGCGCGAUUGAAUGAGCCGAUGUCGGAUUAGCUAGUUGGCGGGGUAAAGGCCCACCAAGGCGACGAUCCGUAGCUGGUCUGAGAGGAUGAUCAGCCACACUGGAACCGAGACACGGUCCAGACUCCUACGGGAGGCAGCAGUGGGGAAUAUUGGACAAUGGGCGCAAGCCUGAUCCAGCCAUACCGCGUGGGUGAAGAAGGCCUUCGGGUUGUAAAGCCCUUUUGUUGGGAAAGAAAAGCAGCAGGUUAAUACCCCGCUGUUCUGACGGUACCCAAAGAAUAAGCACCGGCUAACUUCGUG
RNAcentral lists this ribosomal RNA (492 nucleotides) under uncultured bacterium. RNAcentral describes it as "partial 16S ribosomal RNA". It matches the Rfam family "Bacterial small subunit ribosomal RNA", at positions 29 to 507 of the family's 1533-position model. The record is from RNAcentral.